ACGUGAAUGAAGGUUCAGAAUCUUCACCUCCCUUCUUACGAGCGGCGACGGCGGCGGUGCGAAUGGCUUCCUCUUCUCCGAUCCUCACUCCUCACGACAGCGGCGCCCUCAAUAAAUUCCCUUCUCCGGUCUAGUUUUCUCAAAAUCUCUCCGAUUCACUUCUCUCGCGGCUCAAUAUUUCGCUCUCGAGUCUCUGUUUUUCGUUUCGGAUUGCGUGGAUUGUGAUGUUAUCCUGUUGAUGAUGAAGAUUGAAAUUGCGGUUUGGCGGAGGUGAUUGAGACGCGUGAAGUGUUGAAGACGAACGAUGAUGAACGGAGUUGAUGUGGUUGUUGUUAUGAAGCGUGAAGAGAGGAAUGGCGACUCAAUCGUGAGACGAUGAUGAAUGUAGCGCUAUUGCGAAAUUCUCGAAGAUGCGGAAUCGCAAAAUCAUGUGAUUAUAGAGUGCUGCGAUUUGAUGACAUCCACGAUGAGAAAUUCAAGGACGAAUGAUGCGCGAUGAACCUUUCCACAAAUCAAUGAACACUGAGACUCGAUGAUUGAAGACUUUUCUGUGGAUAGAGAUGCAGAAUCGUGAUGAGUUUCUCGUGUAACUGUUUCUGUUAGGAUCUUUUCUUGGUUUUCAAGGAUGAAGAAUGGAGAGAGGGAAGAUCGAUGAUGAUUAUGAAGAGAUGGUGAAGUGAUGGAGGUUGAAUGAUGGUGGUGGUUAUGGAGCAUGAAGGAUUUCUGAGAUGGAGAAAAUGAAGAAUGAGUAUGGAGAUUAUGGUGUGUGAAGAAAUGGCCUCCCUGAAAAUGAGGCUAAUGCAGAAUAUAUAGGUUAUCUCGGCGUUGGCUUGCUCACUUUGGCUUGUGUAUGGCUUGUUUGGAAUACCUUUUGAUCACUCUGCUGUAAAACUCAGACUCAGCAGCAACCAUAUUUGAAUCAACAAUAUACUCUAUUUUGGGAGAUUUAUUCAAUUUGUUCACAACUCUGUUUGUAAUGGCUUCCUUUUUUCUCUUAGCGUAGUGACUUGGAUCUUUGUAAUGAUUUGGAACUGUAAUGAUUCUUGGAUCUUUGUAAUGAAGUUUGACUUUGGUUUG
This is a long non-coding RNA of Vicia villosa (hairy vetch), 1077 nucleotides long. RefSeq lists it as uncharacterized. NCBI's taxonomy places the organism in Eukaryota, Viridiplantae, Streptophyta, Magnoliopsida, Fabales, Fabaceae. The transcript is spliced from 3 exons. The record is from RefSeq and is a predicted model, not a curated record.